GGAGCUUGCUCCACCGAAAGAAAAAGAGUGGCGAACGGGUGAGUAACACGUGGGUAACCUGCCCAUCAGAAGGGGAUAACACUUGGAAACAGGUGCUAAUACCGUAUAACACUAUUUUCCGCAUGGAAGAAAGUUGAAAGGCGCUUUUGCGUCACUGAUGGAUGGACCCGCGGUGCAUUAGCUAGUUGGUGAGGUAACGGCUCACCAAGGCAACGAUGCAUAGCCGACCUGAGAGGGUGAUCGGCCACACUGGGACUGAGACACGGCCCAGACUCCUACGGGAGGCAGCAGUAGGGAAUCUUCGGCAAUGGACGAAAGUCUGACCGAGCAACGCCGCGUGAGUGAAGAAGGUUUUCGGAUCGUAAAACUCUGUUGUUAGAGAAGAACAAGGAUGAGAGUAAAAUGUUCAUCCCUUGACGGUAUCUAACCAGAAAGCCACGGCUAACUACGUGCCAGCAGCCGCGGUAAUACGUAGGUGGCAAGCGUUGUCCGGAUUUAUUGGGCGUAAAGCGAGCGCAGGCGGUUUCUUAAGUCUGAUGUGAAAGCCCCCGGCUCAACCGGGGAGGGUCAUUGGAAACUGGGAGACUUGAGUGCAGAAGAGGAGAGUGGAAUUCCAUGUGUAGCGGUGAAAUGCGUAGAUAUAUGGAGGAACACCAGUGGCGAAGGCGGCUCUCUGGUCUGUAACUGACGCUGAGGCUCGAAAGCGUGGGGAGCGAACAGGAUUAGAUACCCUGGUAGUCCACGCCGUAAACGAUGAGUGCUAAGUGUUGGAGGGUUUCCGCCCUUCAGUGCUGCAGCAAACGCAUUAAGCACUCCGC
This 818-nucleotide ribosomal RNA is filed under the name Enterococcus casseliflavus. Its description in RNAcentral is "bacterial SSU rRNA". It matches the Rfam family "Bacterial small subunit ribosomal RNA", at positions 75 to 872 of the family's 1533-position model. The record is from RNAcentral. Lineage: Bacteria; Bacillati; Bacillota; Bacilli; Lactobacillales; Enterococcaceae.